CUUCCGGACGCGGGCUCGCGCCUCCCGGGCGCACCUCGGGGCCCGCGGGCCGAGUGUCGCUAGGACGUUUUCCGCAGGCCUAGCAGGCGGACCCCGCGGCUCGGAGCAAGCGGUGCAGGGGCAGGAGCGAUUCCCAUUCGAGGAGUUUGACCUCUCAUUUUAAUACAACACCCGCCUCUUAGAGGCAGCAGACCAGUCCAGCCAGGUCAAGGUGUGGACCGCACAACGGGGUGCACAGGAUUAGUUAAGCAAAGCAGGAACCCAGCUGGAAAAUUAAACGAGCCCUGGAUCUGCAAAGCAGGUCCCUUCGCGAGACCAAAGCCGUGAUCCCAACCUUAGCAACAUAAUUCUACUGGAGGUGUUGAUAUAUAUACUAAUCCAGAACAACCAUGUAGCAAGAGGAAUAAAAUGAAGUUCAGAAGUCUGUUUCGGGAAAUUUUGAAGCCCUUUAGAAAGAAAGAUUUCUACAUUUUGUUACAUGAAAUUCAUGCAAAUAUAUGUCAGGUGCCAGUGCUAUGGAGUUGUUGAAGAAUAAGCACAAUACCAUUUAUUACCACUUCUCAGUUGUAAAGAGGCUGUAACUCUGGUUGUCGAAAUAAAAUAAAAUGAAAUCUCCUAGAUGUGACACUGUGACCCCUGCCAGUUAUUUACAAACAAGUUAUCUGCACAUUUUGGGCUGUAAACAU
RNAcentral lists this long non-coding RNA (686 nucleotides) under Homo sapiens (human). RNAcentral's name for it is "non-protein coding lnc-MACC1-3:9". Lineage: Eukaryota; Metazoa; Chordata; Mammalia; Primates; Hominidae. The record is from RNAcentral.